GAUGAACGCUGGCGGCGUGCCUAAUACAUGCAAGUAGAACGCUGAAGCUUGGUUCUUGCACCGAGCGGAUGAGUUGCGAACGGGUGAGUAACGCGUAGGUAACCUGCCUCUUAGCGGGGGAUAACUAUUGGAAACGAUAGCUAAUACCGCAUAAAAGUCGGUAUCGCAUGAUAUUGAUUUGAAAGGUGCAAAUGCAUCACUAAGAGAUGGACCUGCGUUGUAUUAGCUAGUUGGUGAGGUAACGGCUCACCAAGGCGACGAUACAUAGCCGACCUGAGAGGGGAGAGGGUCACCGGGGGAAUGGGGCCCGGCCCAGAGCCCUAAGUGCUGCGGCAGGAAGGAAUCUUCGGUAAUGGGGGCAAGGCUGACCGCGCAAGGACGCGUGCGUGGAGAAGGUUUUCGGCUUGUGAAGCGCUGUCGUAAGAGGAGCACGAGGGUGAGACUGGAAAGUUCAGGUUGUGACGGUAACGUAACAGAAAGGGCCGGCUAACUACGUG
RNAcentral lists this ribosomal RNA (497 nucleotides) under uncultured bacterium. RNAcentral describes it as "partial 16S ribosomal RNA". It matches the Rfam family "Bacterial small subunit ribosomal RNA", at positions 28 to 507 of the family's 1533-position model. The record is from RNAcentral.